RNAcentral lists this ribosomal RNA (269 nucleotides) under Xanthomonas citri pv. citri. Its description in RNAcentral is "partial 16S ribosomal RNA". It matches the Rfam family "Bacterial small subunit ribosomal RNA", at positions 510 to 778 of the family's 1533-position model. Lineage: Bacteria; Pseudomonadati; Pseudomonadota; Gammaproteobacteria; Lysobacterales; Lysobacteraceae. The record is from RNAcentral.
AGCAGCCGCGGUAAUACGUAGGUGGCAAGCGUUGUCCGGAAUUAUUGGGCGUAAAGGGCUCGCAGGCGGUUUCUUAAGUCUGAUGUGAAAGCCCCCGGCUCAACCGGGGAGGGUCAUUGGAAACUGGGGAACUUGAGUGCAGAAGAGGAGAGUGGAAUUCCACGUGUAGCGGUGAAAUGCGUAGAGAUGUGGAGGAACACCAGUGGCGAAGGCGACUCUCUGGUCUGUAACUGACGCUGAGGAGCGAAAGCGUGGGGAGCGAACAGGAU